UACGGGGGGAGCAAGCGUUGUUCGGAUUUACUGGGCGUAAAGGGUGCGUAGGCGGCGCGGUAAGUCGGGUGUGAAAUCUCGGAGCUUAACUCCGAAACUGCAUUCGAUACUGCCGUGCUUGAGGACUGGAGAGGAGACUGGAAUUUACGGUGUAGCGGUGAAAUGCGUAGAUAUCGUAAGGAAGACCAGUGGCGAAGGCGGGUCUCUGGACAGCUCCUGACGCUGAGGCACGAAGGUCAGGGGAGCAAACGGG
This 253-nucleotide ribosomal RNA is filed under the name uncultured bacterium. RNAcentral describes it as "partial 16S ribosomal RNA". It matches the Rfam family "Bacterial small subunit ribosomal RNA", at positions 524 to 776 of the family's 1533-position model. The record is from RNAcentral.